AUGACCAUGUUGUUUCCUGGAGUCCUUUCUCAUGAUGAUGUCGCUAUUAUUCAUCCCACAGUUUAUGCAGUGGAGCGUCAAAGACCUCAGUGUGUUACAGGAGAAGACCAUGAAGAUCGGCAAGAAAGAUGUGUCAUACAUGUUGAUCAAGGAAGGUGCGGCACUGUGAUGUGCGUUGAAACACAAGCAUGGCCUGCAAUCGACGCCCACCAUCCAUGUGCCUUGCAAGCAGCAAUUUUUCACAUUCUUGAUGAUAUUUGUCAGUGCCCUCUUCUCAUCUAUCUCGACAAUCUCGGUAUCCAGGCAAGGUAUGUCUAUGUCAGUUGA
Molecule: ribosomal RNA, 327 nt
Filed under: Triticum aestivum (bread wheat)
Lineage: Eukaryota; Viridiplantae; Streptophyta; Magnoliopsida; Poales; Poaceae
Description: partial small subunit ribosomal RNA
Source: RNAcentral